RNAcentral lists this ribosomal RNA (466 nucleotides) under uncultured Bacteroidota bacterium. Its description in RNAcentral is "bacterial SSU rRNA". It matches the Rfam family "Bacterial small subunit ribosomal RNA", at positions 28 to 504 of the family's 1533-position model. Lineage: Bacteria; Pseudomonadati; Bacteroidota. The record is from RNAcentral.
GAUGAACGCUAGCGGAAGGCCUAAUACAUGCAAGGCGAGGGCGCAGCAAUGUGACCGUCGAACGGGUGCGUAACGCGUAUGCAACCUACCUACUACUGGGGAAUAGCCCAUGGAAACGUGGAUUAAUACCGCAUAAUACAGGGGGCCGGCAUCGGUCUAUUUGUUAAAGAUUUAUCGGUAGUAGAUGGGCAUGCGUCUGAUUAGUUAGUUGGGGGGGUAACGGCCCACCAAGACGAUGAUCAGUAGGGGAGCUGAGAGGUUGAUCCCCCACAUGGGCACUGAGAUACGGGUCCAACUCCUACGGGAGGCAGCAGUAGGGAAUAUUGGGCAAUGGAUGCAAGUCUGACCCAGCCAUUCCGCGUGCCGGAUGAAGGCCCUCAGGGUCGUAAACGGCUUUUGAAUGGGAAGAAUAGUUACCAUGCGUGGUAAAGUGACGGUACCAUUCGAAUAAGCACCGGCUAACUCC